ACCUCCUUAGCAGCUCUAAUUUUCAGUGUAAGAUGUUGACGGGUCAAGAACUAGGCUCUGAGCUGUUCCACUGUAUCCUGUUAGGUAUUAUUGGGCUGAUGAUGGAAGGCUCAAAAAUUUGUCUUAAUUUAGACUUCACAUGUUCUUUUCAUACAUUAUGAGAUGCUACUUAUGCCAUCUGAACCAAACAGCUAUAAUAGCUAAAUAUGG
This 210-nucleotide unclassified non-coding RNA is filed under the name Hevea brasiliensis (rubber tree). The record is from RNAcentral. Lineage: Eukaryota; Viridiplantae; Streptophyta; Magnoliopsida; Malpighiales; Euphorbiaceae.